GGGAGAAUGAGAGAGGAGGUAGAAUACAGUGUAAGACUCAGGUUAUGACCCUCAUAACCAUAACUUAAUGGCAGAUGACAACAUACUUGAUUUUGAAAUAAUUCCAUGUAAUCCUUUAAAAAAUCAUCUGACUCUUCUAAUCUAUUUUUUAUUUUGAAAUAUUUAAAAUUUACAGACACGUUACAAGAAUAAUGUAAAUAAAACCCAUAUUUCUUUCCCUAGAUUCACUAAUUACCAACAUUUUGCAGUGUUGUGCUUGUGUUUUCUCCCCAGCCUGCUUUUAUAUAUGGCAGUAGUUUUAGGCAUCCUAAUACUUCACUGAUAAAUAUUUUAGUAUAUGUAUUUUAAUAAAAACACAUUCUCUAACAUAAUCGCAAUAUAAUUAUUACACUCAGGAAAUGUAAUGUUUAUAGUACUAUAAAAAAUAUAGUCCACAUUCAAAUGUCCUAACAUACUGUCCCAUAAGUGUUCUUUUUUUUUUUUUUUAAUUUUAUUUUCCCACUGUACAGCAAGGGGGUCAGGUUAUCCUUACAUGUAUACAUUACAAUUACAGUUUUUCCCCCACCAUUUCUUCUGUUGCAACAUGAGUAUCUAGACAUAGUUCUCAAUGCUAUUCGGCGGGAUCUCCUUGUAAAUCUAUUCUACGUUGUGACUGAUAAGCCCAAGCUCCCGAUCCCUCCCACUCCCUCCCCCUCCCAUCAGGCAACCACAAGUCUCUUCUCCAAGUCCAUGACUGAUUUUCUUUUCUGAGGAGAUGUUCAUUUGUGCUGGAUAUUAGAUUCCAGUUAUAAGUGAUGUCAUAUGGUAUUUGUCUUUGUCUUUCUGGCUCAUUUCACUCAGUAUGAGAUUCUCUAGUUCCAUCCAUGUUGCUGCAAAUGGCAUGAUGUCAUCCUUUUUUAUGGCUGAGUAGUAUUCCAUUGUGUAUAUAUACCACACCUUCCGAAUCCAAUCAUCUGUCGAUGGACAUUUGGGUUGUUUCCAUGUCCUGGCUAUUGUGAAUAGUGCUGCAAUGAACAUGCGGCUGCAUGUGUCUCUUUUAAGUGGAGCUUUGUCCGGAUAGAUGCCCAAGAGUGGGAUUGCAGGGUCAUAUGCAUAAGUGUUCUUAUAAAGAACUGCUAUAAGCAGUUUUUGUUUGAUUGGCUUUUUGGGGGGCAGGGGUGAGGUGGGAUGUGAUUCAGGAUCCAAUCAGUAAUUAAAUACUUAAUUCAUCAUUGUCACAUCAUAAUCUCUUUUAAUUUAGAACAAUUCUCCAGCCUUAGUUUUCUCUUUUCUUUUCAUGGCAUUGACUUUGUUGAAGUACCUAGGCCAGUCAUUUUGCGAAAUGACUUUCAGAUUGUAUUUACCUGCUUCCUCAUGAUUACAUUCAGCUUAAGCAUUUUGGAUAGGUGGUGUUGUGGAUUAAAAUGGUCAAAUAUCUCAUGGAUAUCUUCCCAGUGUUUAGUUAGAUCAGCAGGACUAGGACUUGGGGCUCUACCUUAGCAAAUUUUAGCCAGGAGUUUAAGGCUUCUUGGUCAGAGAACAUGUAUUGUGUUUCUGUCAUGUGCCUUCUUCAUGUCACACUUAUUAGGAGCAUGAUUCUGUGCUCUCAGAGCUUCAUAGGGUAUAUCAUCUGCUUCUUGAAAAAAACUUGUGCCCUUUGUUCUGAAGUUCAUGGUUUUUUUUUUUUCCCUAUUUUAAAUUCCUUGAAUAAUCUAUCUGUGGAAAUAUUUUUAUGGGAACUUUUAAAAUUUUCGUGAAGUUCUUCUUGACAUCUGGGUUUUCUCAUUCUGAAAAUGAUUCAAAUAUUAUUGCUAUUUUUUUCAAGUUUGACUGAAAAAGUUAAUACAUUUGUAGUAAAAUUAGAGAAUUUCAGGGCUGAUAAAGAAAAAAGACAUGACUGUGAGAUGAUGGUAGUACACAAUGAACUUUGUUUAGGCAGAGGUCUGACAAAUUGCAAAGGAAAGUCCUUCACAGCUGGAGACCUUCCAGAGACAUCAGUGUAGGACCACAACCAGAAGGGGAAGAGGGUACUUGAACUCUUUGAGGAGAGGGGUACCAGAGAGGGGAUUCAUGUUUCUAGAACAUGUCACUCAGUUGCAAGAUGGAAGUCUCUGGUUCAUAGAGCACCACAGGACAGCAGUAGCUUGUAGUCUUUUUAUAACUCCUAGGGUUUGCCUUAACUAUAGCUUGCAGACAUCAAAUUUAGUGUCAUUAAGUAUGUAAAAGAGGCAGGCUCUUCAUGGCUAGAAAACUUAUUUGGGUUAUGUUAAAAGCAAUUGAAUGUGUGAAAAUUUGGCACUAGUUAGAGUUCUGAGCAAAUGGUGCUUGCUUGCUGUGAAAAAGUAAACAAUAUAGAGGCCAAGGUAUAGGAGGUAUCUUUGGCAUGUUUAUGUAACAGCAUUAUAUUAUGAAAGACUUAUAAGUAUUUUUUAUUUUUAAAUUGUGGAAAAUUAAGGGGAUGAUUUAAAUUAAGAAUAACUAAUUUCUCUAGUUUCAGGAGUCACUUUCACUGUUCACUAGCCAAAUUUCUGUUCACUUGAAAAACAUACCUUUUACUUCAGAAAAGAAUCUUAUAAAUUUAGGGUCAAAUUAUAACAGAAUAAAUUUUAGGAGGGAGGUGCUAGGUAUUACAGGUACUCCUCUUAUGUUCUGUUGAAGGAAUUAUUCAUGUUUAUAUUAUUUUCUGAAUGAUGUCUCUUUACUCUUAGGUUUAACAAGCCUUUAUUUCAAAUGGGGGUAAAUAUGUGUGAGAGGAUGUGUAUCAGGGCAUAUGUGUGCUAUAAAGAACACAGGAGAGCAGCACCAAUUUAAAUAUUAGUUAAUGUAUAACACUUCUUUUCCCUGGUACUUAUAUUCUUAACUUUGUUUGUUUUCUGAAAUAAUUUUUGUCUUUGUUAGAGAUGAACAUGAAUAUACUGAUUUCUUAGAAAUCCCCUCUUAGAGUAAUUUCUUCUGAGUUUUCAAGUUUACUAGAUAAUUUUCAUCAGCUAACAACUUCUUGAACUCAUUUCUUUAUUUUUUCACAGCAAAACUAUACAAGAAUUGGAUAUAUAAUAGUGUUUAUUAAAAAUAGAUACAUAGUACGUCAGAUAUAUUGUUUAUUUUUGCUUAAUAUUUUUGAUAUUUUGAAACAAAUAUAGUUAUGUAACAAAACUUAUUUUCACAAAUAAGAAUAAAACAGGCAAAACUAACUUGAUGAUGGGAAAGCCGUAAUUUGUGAGUGUUUUCUUAAGGUAGAGAUAAGUAUAUAUAUACAUAUACACAUGCUCUCUGGACCUUUUUCUUUUUAAAUUUUAUGGCCACGCCCACAGCAUAUGGAAGUUCCUGGGUCAGGGAUUGAAUCUGAGCCACAGCUGCAGCAAUGCUGGAUCCUUUAAUCCACUGCGCUGGGCCAGGGAUUGAACCUGCACUUCUGCAAUGACCUAAGCCACUGCAGUAGAAUUCUUAACCCGUUGCACCACAGUGGGAAGUACUCUAAGACUGUUUUAAACCUGGGUUAAAAUUCAAAUUCUUUCUACUCAGAUGAAGAUAACAAGUUAGUUCCCUACAUAAGUAUCUAUUUUGUUAAUAAUGUUUUGAAUUAUUUUUUUAUUUUAUUUUUAUUUAUUUAUUUUUCUUUUUUUUUUUGUCUUUUGUCUUUUUGGUUGUUGUUGUUGUUAUUGUUGCAGACUCAGCUCAGAUCCCAUGUUGCUGUGGCUGCAGUGUAGGCUGGCGGCUACAGCUCCAGUUAGACCCCUAGCCUGGUUCACCUCCAUAUGCUGUGGGGGCCGCUCUAGAAAAGACCAAAAGACCAAGUAAAAAAAAUGUAAAUUUUGACAUCAAAAGCAUAAAAUGUAGUAGAGGGGAAUAACAGUGUAGACUAAUAGAAACACAGAAGAUAAAGAGAAAAGAAAGCAUACCACUAGAGAAAUUCAUCAGAUCACAAAGGAAGGCAACAAGAGAAUAAGAAAGUAACAACAGAACUACAAAAGAGCCAGAAAAGGAUUAAUAAGAUACUUUAUUAGUCAUCACCUAUCAAUAAUUACUUUAAAUGUAUAUGGAGUAAAUUCUCAAUUCAAAGGACAUAAGGUGGCUGAUGGAUAAAAAACAAGAUCCCCUUUAUGCUGUCUUUAAGGGACUCACUAUACUUUUAAGAAUAAACAUAGAUAGCAAAAAUAUUCUAGGCAAAUGGAAACCAAAAGACAGCUAUGGUAGCAGUUCCUAUAUCAGACAAAAUAGAUUUAGUCAAAAACUGUAAGGACAAACAAGGUGAUUAUAUAAUGAUAAAGAGGUCAACUCAUCAAGAGAAAAACAAUGUAAAUAUAUGUCACCCAACGUCAGAGUACAUAAAGAUAGCAAAUAUUAACAGAACUCAAGGGAGAAAUUGAUAGCAGUACAAUAAUAUUAGAUGUCUUCAAUACCACACUUUUAACAAAUGAUAGAUCAUACAGCAGAAAUGCAAUAAGGAAACACUGGACUUUAUCUAGACCUUAGACCAAAUAGACCUAACAUAAAAAUAUAGAAUUAUCCAUUCAACAGCAUGAUAUGCAUUCUUUUGAAGCACACAAAGGACAUUCUCCAGGAUAGUUCUUAUGUUAGGCCACAGAAUAAGUCUUAAAAAACUCAAGAACAUAUCCAAUAUCUUUUCCAACCUUGAUGAUAUGAAACUAGAAAUCAGUAAGAGGAAAAUUAGAGAAUUCACAGAUAUGUAAAAAUUAACCAAUGUCAAAGGAAAAAAAAUAUAAGCAAUAUCUUGAGAUAAAUGAAAAUGGAAACAUACACAAACUUAAGGGAUGCAGAAAAAGUUCUAUGAUAGCUUUAAGAAAAAAAUCUUCAAAACUUAAUUUUACCCCUUAAGAAAUUAGAAAAAGAAGAGAAAUUAAACCUAGAGUUAUCAGAAGGAAGGAAAUAACAAAGUAGAAAUAUGAAAUAGGCUGGAAAAACAAUAUAAAUGAUUAACAAAACUAAGCAUUCGUUUUUGAAAAGUUCAACAAAAUUGACAAAUCUUUAGCUAGCCUAAGAAAAAAAGAGGAAAGACUUGAAUAAAAGCAGAAAUUAAAGAAAAGACGUUAUGGCUGAUACCACGAAAAUUCCAAAGGGUCAUAAGAAUAGCCACCAACAAACUGGAGAACCCAGAAAAGCGUAUGUUCCUAGAAACAUACAAGAAUGUAUCAUGAAGAAAUAGAAAUCUGAACAGAGAAAUAAUGGGUAAGGAGAUUGAAUCAAUUACUAAAAAUGCCCAGUAAAGAAAAGCCCAGGACCUGAUGACCUUUCUGGAGACUUUUACCAAACAUUUAAAGAAUCAAUACCGGAGUUCCUGUCGUGAAUCUGGUUAACGAAUCUAACUAGGAACCAUGAAGUUGUGGGUUCAAUCCCUGGCCUUGCUUCGUGGGUUAAGGAUCCGGUGUUGCUGUGAGCUGUGGUGUAGGUCGCAGAUGUGGCUUGGAUCCUUUGUUGCUGUGGCUCUGGCGUACUCCAGUGGCUACAGCUCUGGUUAGACCCCUAGCCUGGGAACCUCCAUAUGCCGCGGGAACAGCCUUAGANAAAAAAAAAAAAAAAAAAAAAAAAAA
RNAcentral lists this long non-coding RNA (5528 nucleotides) under Sus scrofa (pig). RNAcentral's name for it is "lncRNA (ENSSSCG00065072765.1)". The record is from RNAcentral. Lineage: Eukaryota; Metazoa; Chordata; Mammalia; Artiodactyla; Suidae.